CUACGGGGUGCAGCAGUGAGGAAUUUUGCGCAAUGGGGGAAACCCUGACGCAGCAACGCCGCGUGAGCGAAGAAGGCCCUCGGGUCGUAAAGCUCUGUCAAGUGGGAAAAAAAUUCUUUGAUCAAUAGUCAAAGGGCUUGAUGGUACCACUGGAGGAAGCACCGGCUAACUCCGUGCCAGCAGCCGCGGUAAUACGGAGGGUGCAAGCGUUGUUCGGAAUUACUGGGCGUAAAGAGCGUGUAGGCGGUUUGGCAAGUCAGAUGUGAAAGCCCUGGGCUCAACCUGGGAAGUGCAUUUGAAACUGCUUGACUAGAGUAUGGGAGAGGAGAUUGGAAUUCCUGGUGUAGAGGUGAAAUUCGUAGAUAUCAGGAGGAACACCCGUGGCGAAGGCGAUUCUCUGGACCAAUACUGACGCUGAGACGCGAAAGCGUGGGGAGCAAACAGGAUUAGAUACCCGCGUAGUC
RNAcentral lists this ribosomal RNA (464 nucleotides) under uncultured bacterium. RNAcentral describes it as "partial 16S ribosomal RNA". It matches the Rfam family "Bacterial small subunit ribosomal RNA", at positions 339 to 795 of the family's 1533-position model. The record is from RNAcentral.